This 274-nucleotide ribosomal RNA is filed under the name uncultured bacterium. RNAcentral's name for it is "partial 16S ribosomal RNA". It matches the Rfam family "Bacterial small subunit ribosomal RNA", at positions 523 to 796 of the family's 1533-position model. The record is from RNAcentral.
AUACGGAGGCUGCGAGCGUUAAUCGGAAUUACUGGGCGUAAAGCGUACGUAGGCGGUUGGUUAAGUUAGAUGUGAAAGCCCCGGGCUUAACCUGGGAACUGCAUUUAAAACUGGCGAACUAGAGUUGAGUAGAGGGGAGUGGAAUUUCAGGUGUAGCGGUGAAAUGCGUAGAGAUCUGAAGGAACACCAGUGGCGAAGGCGACUCCCUGGACUCGAACUGACGCUGAGGUACGAAAGCGUGGGUAGCAAACGGGAUUAGAAACCCUUGUAGUCC